This 2896-nucleotide long non-coding RNA is filed under the name Sus scrofa (pig). RNAcentral describes it as "lncRNA (ENSSSCG00005000893.1)". Lineage: Eukaryota; Metazoa; Chordata; Mammalia; Artiodactyla; Suidae. The record is from RNAcentral.
GGGCCCUUUUGCAAACAAAAGUGUGAUCGUCUCCAGCUUAAAACCUUUUGUGGUCAGGAACAUCCGUUGCCUAAUAUCCUUUAUUUAAUUUCAUUUCUGCUUGAGACUAGCCAGAAUCAGUCUGCCUCUUCAGCAGCAAAGUUGAUUAAAGAUAUUACAUAGCUCUUAGAAUCUACCUAGGAGAAGGCCGGACAGCCCAAUGCUGAAGCUACAGAGACAGCACAGCCUCAGCUACAGAAUGGGGCGAGCCUUGGUACCUGAGCCCUUUCAGCCACUUUCUCUGAUUCUCAGGACAGAGCCUGCAGGAGAUGGAUGGCCUGGCCCGUGGCCACAGGGCCAUGCUGUUUCCUCUGAGGCUGCUGCAAGGCAAACCAGAUCUCAUGGCGGUAUCCUAGUUGUAGGUGAUCCAGAGAGUGCAAAAUGUUUGGCAUUUACCUUGAGGAAGUGGGAACUUACAAAAUAGGGGAAGUUAACAAAACACAAGGAGGCGGGGGUGUCACAAGAUUUGAGUGGGUGGAUACAGGUUAUAGCCGCUCAAGUUUUCCUCUUGGCUUCCUUCUUCUAUAAACUUUCAACCAAUAACGACAAGCUNNNNNNNNNNNNNNNNNNNNNNNNNNNNNNNNNNNNNNNNNNNNNNNNNNNNNNNNCCCCCACCCCACCCCACUCCCCCCCUGGCUACAGAGGAAAUGUCCCAGCAUCUCCGCUAAGAACCCAAAGUCCAAACCCAAGGUUUCUGAGUAAUGUUUAUUCCUCCCUUUAGUUCAUUUGCAGCCAAUGUUGGUUAACUUAUUGAUUCAUUGAUGAAGCUAGCUAUUGCCAACAUACCUUGAAUAAAAAGCCAAAAAACUUAAUUAAUGUAAAACCACUGAUGCAGGUUACUGGGCAAGGCCAAUGGGAGAAAACCACAUCUUUCUGGACCCCACAUUGGUAAGCCCCAUCUUUAAGGGAUAAAAACCCCUAUAAGACAAUAGAGGGGGGGGACUCUUCUUCCCCCUCCCAGCUGUCCUGGGAGCUGUUUGCCCAGACUUUGCUUACUUGCAAAAAAAUAAUAAUAAUAAUGUAUAACCAUAUAUGUGAUGCAGCAAGGAAGACAGUUUAGGAAGAUGCUGCCAUUCUAACUUCUGUAGUUAGUUACUUCAAAGAAAUGGUUGGUAUUAAAUCUCAUCUCCUCUUAUAUUUAUUUCAUAUUCCCUUUUUCUUUUUUGGAAUUAUCAGACUAGGACUUUAUUUAUAAUUUUUUUUGUCUUUUUAGGGCUAUACCCACAGCAUAUGGAGGUUCCCAGGCUAGGGGUCUAAUUGGAGCUGUAGCUGCCAGCCCAUGCCAGAACCACAGAAACACAGGAUCUGAGCCGCGUCUGUGACCUACACUACAGCUCACGGCAACGCCGGAUCCUUAACCCACUGAGUAAGGCCAGGGAUCGAACCCGCAACCUGAUGGUUCCUAGUUGGAUUCAUCAACCACUGAGCCAUGACGGGAACUUCCUUGGUUUGUGGCUUUGGUAGGAAAGGGAAACCCCAGAGACUGCCUUCUAGCCCUCCACAGCCAUCACAGCACUAACCCCAUGUGCCGUGGAGUCCAAGUGUGGAUUCUGUCAGUCACAGCAUACAUCUAUUCCAGUCAUGUACUCAGCAGCUGAGACAACAACUUUAGACUUUUACAGAGCUGUUGGUCCCCUUGUGAGAUGAAUCGAAGCCAGGUUUCUUUUGUUGGUUGGUUGGUUUGCUUGCUUGCUUUUUAGGGCCGCACCCAUGGCAUAUGGAAAUUCUCAGGCUUGGGGUCAAAUUGGAGCUGCAGCUACAGGCCUACGCCACAGCCACAGCAACACCAUAUCCAAGCCACAUCUGCAACCUACACCGCAGCACGUGGCAACGCUGGAUUCUUAACCCACUGAGCAAGGCCAGGGAUGGAUUGUAGACAGGUUCAUUACCGCCGAGACACAGUGGGAACUUCUGAAGCCAGGUUUCCAUUUAUUCCCCUCUGGUGGGUCACAGUGGCAACCAGAAACCCCAAGAAUUAGCACCGUUUCAGAACCAGUGUCCAGUCAUCCUCAGAAGUUCUGGGAAGUUCCCUCUCCCUGUGCAGGUACCUAGUAAACAGUUGCAGAUCCCAAGCAGGAAAUGUAGAGGAGAUACUUGCAGUAUCUUUGAGGAGACCUUACUCAGGGGAUGUCUGGCUCUCUGUUCAAGGAGGUUUGGGUCAGGGAACUGACUCACAUCUGGGGCUGAAUGAGACACUAGAUCUCUUCUUCAUGGCAAAGCAAGUCAGACCCCUAUUCACCAGGCCUAGAUUUCGUUCUGUUUUACAUGUACUAGCUUACUAGGGCCAUCUUAACUAAAUGCUUCAGAUUGCCAAACAACAGAAACUCAUUUUCUCACACUUCUGGAGGUUGGAAGUUUGAGAUCAAGGCACCGUAGGGUUGGUUCUUCUGAGGCCUCUUCCCUUGGCACAUAGGUGGCCUUUUUCUCCCUGUGGCUUCACGUGGUUCUCCUUCUCUACAUGUCUAUGUCCUGACUUCCUCCUCUUAAAAAUUCCACCUCUUACACAGUCAUAUUGAAUUAGGGCCCACCCUCAUGACCCCAUUUCAAUUAUCUCGUUAAAGAUUGUAUUUCCAAAUAUAGUCACAUUUUGAGUCGCUUGGGGGUCCGAAGGAGGUUAGGACUUCAACCUAAGAAUUCUGGAGAGGAGUUCCCCUUGUGGUUCAGUGGAUCAAGAGCCCGACUAGUAUCCGUGAGGAUGUGGGUUCAAUCCCUGGCCUUGCUCAGUGGGUUAAGGAUCCGGCAUUGUUGCAAGCUGUGGUAUAGGCUGCAGAUGUGGCUUGGAUCUGUCAUUGCUAUGGCUGUGGCAUAAGCCGGCACCUGCAGCUCCAAUAUGACCCCUAGCCUGGGAACUUCCCUA